GGGGGAAAGAGACGAGCAUAGGUUCCUCCCAAGAUGCCACCCGCUUCAUUCAAGUGUCUGGCAGCACUGUGUUCCUGUUAGAGCCACCAGCACAAGCACCAGACAAUGCUGAUCCAGGUGAAGGCCCCAGUGCAGCAGCAACAGCACAUGAUGGAGACGAUGAUGAGGAGGAGACCAUCUCUCUGGAUUCCAGAAGGCAUGAGGACCCAGAUGCUAUACAGUGGGAAAACCAGCCUGGCAACAUAGUGCGUAUUAAUAAAAGGACACCACAUCCUGCCAAAUUCCAGCUGCGCUAAUUGUAUUGUGUUCACAGAGCUCACAAGCUAUCAGAAAGUUGUAUGGCAACCACCUCCGGCGCCAAAUAGAACUGGCAGACAUAGACAUUCAGUACAAGAAGAAAAAGAUGGAAAAUCUUGCACUGGAGUCCGAAAUAAAAAAGAGGACAAUUAGGAAACUGGACCUUGAAAUAAAAAAACUUGAGAGGGAGGUGAGAUAUGCCUUCAAUGUACACUGUAUGCUAACUGUAACACAAAUGUAUUAAUCAUUAUUUUUCU
Molecule: long non-coding RNA, 554 nt
Organism: Oncorhynchus masou masou (cherry salmon)
Lineage: Eukaryota; Metazoa; Chordata; Actinopteri; Salmoniformes; Salmonidae
Exons: 4
Source: RefSeq, a predicted model, not a curated record